Molecule: long non-coding RNA, 817 nt
Organism: Eurytemora carolleeae
Lineage: Eukaryota; Metazoa; Arthropoda; Copepoda; Calanoida; Temoridae
Exons: 4
Source: RefSeq, a predicted model, not a curated record
GAUAUCCUUGCUCUCAGUGUGAGUAUGCUGCAACUAAAGCAAGUUCUCUGAAGAGACAUUUUGAAAAUAAACAUGAAGGAGUAAGAUAUCCCUGUUUUCAAUGUGAAUAUAGUGCAACUGACGUAAGUAAUCUAAAGAAACAUGUUGAAAUUAAACAUGAAGGAGUGAGAUAUCCUUGUUCUCAAUGCGAACAUGCCGCAACUUCAGCAAGGGAUCUGAAGAGACAUGUUAAUAGUAAACAUGAAGGAUUGAGGUAUCCCUGCUCUCAAUGUGAAUAUAGUGCAACUGACGAAAGUAAUCUGAAGAGACAUGUUGAAAGUAAACACAAUGGAGUGAGGUAUCCAUGCCCAAAAUGUGAGUUCGCUGCAACUAGAGCAGAUGCGCUGAAGAUUCAUGUUGAGAGUAAACAUGAAGGGUGGAGAUAUUAUUGCCCACAAUGUGAGUUUGUCGCAACUGCAGCAAUUAAUCUGAAGAGACAUGUUAAAAGUAAACAUUAAGGAGCGAGAUAUCCUUGCCCUGAAUGUAAAUAUGCUGCAACUCUGAAAAGAGAUAGAAUAACAGAGAUUUUGAAGAAAGAAGUAGAUGUCAAGGAAUCUGAGAUAACCUCUACUAUUGAGGAUACAUGUUUUGUUAAAAUACCUGAAGAUGAUAUAAAGCAGGAAAAUACAGAAAUACAAGAGUAUUUAAAAAAGAUGAAUUGUCUAACAAGAAAAUCUGGGAGUUAUUUAGAAAUAUCAACUUUAAAUCAAACAAGGAUAGAGUGCUGCUGCAAAUCAGUUGAAAACUCUCAAAAAUUAGCUCAAGAACCAGAAACAAG